UACAGAGGUCUCAAGCGUUGUUCGGAUUCAUUGGGCGUAAAGGGUGCGUAGGUGGCGCCGUAAGUCAGGUGUGAAAUUUCGGAGCUUAACUCCGAAACUGCAUUUGAUACUGCGGUGCUUGAGGACUGGAGAGGAGACUGGAAUUUACGGUGUAGCAGUGAAAUGCGUAGAGAUCGUAAGGAGGACCAGUGGCGAAGGCGGGUCUCUGGACAGUUCCUGACACUGAGGCACGAAGGCCAGGGGAGCAAACGGG
This 253-nucleotide ribosomal RNA is filed under the name uncultured bacterium. RNAcentral's name for it is "partial 16S ribosomal RNA". It matches the Rfam family "Bacterial small subunit ribosomal RNA", at positions 524 to 776 of the family's 1533-position model. The record is from RNAcentral.